Molecule: RNA transcript, 7126 nt
Organism: Rhododendron vialii
Lineage: Eukaryota; Viridiplantae; Streptophyta; Magnoliopsida; Ericales; Ericaceae
Gene name: pentatricopeptide repeat-containing protein At1g63330-like
Exons: 2
Source: RefSeq, a predicted model, not a curated record
GAAACAAUAUCUUCGUCAAUUCGCACCAGAGAGAGAGAGAAGAUGGCAAAGAUUGUUGGUGCUUUUAUCAGAGGCCUGAAAUCUGAAAGUAACACAAAGAAAAGUACUCUUCUUCUCUUUCCUACUGGGAGCUUUCGUUUGAUUCAGACUCACUCUAAAUCUAAAAGCCCUAAUUCUCCUCCUCCUGGAACAACUGAAGAAAAUCACCUAGUCGUUCCGAGAAAACACCGAAAUUUGGGGCCCAAUGAUGUUCAAAAUGCUGAGGAGUUCCUCAAUCGGAUGACCCAAAUGAGACGAUUUCCACCCAUUUUGCAAAUCAAUAAAGCCUUAGGGAGCAUUGCGAAAUUGGGUAAUUACAUCACGGCUAUUUCUCAUUUCGAAGAGUUGCAGUUUCUAGGCGUUCAGGUAGAUUUGUACACCCUGAACAUUGCAACUAACUGCUACUGCCACCUCAAUCGAUCUGAUUAUGGUUUCUCGCUUUUAGGCGGCCUCUUCAAACGUGGUUAUACACCUGAUGUUGUUACCUUCAACACUCUCAUAAAUGGACUUAUUAUCGAAGAUAGAACUGCUGAGGCUGUUGAGUUAUUUAAGAAAUUAGUGAGGAACAGAGAUAUUGAGCCCAACGUGGCUAUGUAUGGAGCGAUUAUUAAUGGGCUUUGCAAAAUAGGCAACACUAUCACGUCUAUUAGAUUGCUCAGGAUAAUGGAUAAGGCAAGUUGUAAACCUGACACUGUAUUGUAUUCCACGAUCAUUGACAGUCUUUGCAAGGAUGGAAUGGUUGACGAUGCUGUGAGGCUCCUUUUAGAAAUGAAGGACAGAGGUAUUCUUGCAAACGUUUUUACGUAUAACUCUUUGAUUCAUGGCCUUUGUAAUUUUGGCAAGUGGAAGGAGGCUAAAAGAAUGUUGAGAGAGAUGUUGAAUGGUGGCAUUUAUCCAGAUGUCCGUACAUUUAGUAUGUUGGUGGAUGCACAUUCCAAGGAAGGGAAGGCGAAGGAAGCAGAGGAGGUACUUGAAGUGAUGAUUGAAAGAGGUGUGGACCCUGAUGUUGUCACAUACAGUAGUUUAAUAGAUGGAUAUUGUUUGCAAGGCCAAAUGGAUGAAGCAAUGAGAGUGUUCAAUAAAAUGGUGGAGAGGGGGGUUCAGCCUAACAAUUUUGCCUAUACUAUUUUGAUCAACGGAUAUUGCAAGAAGAUGAAAAUAGACGAGGCUAUGCAGCUCUUUAGAGAAAUGCCUCAAAGGGGGUUGAAACCUGAUGUUCAAACUUUCAGUACUAUGUUACAGGGUUUGUUUCGAAUUGGUAGAUGUGCAGCAGCUCACAGACUUUUUGAUGAGAUGCAAGCUGCAGGCAUAAUUCCAAGUACUCUAACCUUUGGUAUCUUGCUGGAUGGGCUUUGCAAAAAUGGUAAUAUUGCUCUGGCAUUGUCCUUGUUUAAAACAAUGGAAGGGAACGGGUUAGAUAUUGAUGUCGUUAUGUACAAUAUCCUCAUUGAUGCAUUAUGCAAGGCUAAAAAGAUGGACCAUGCAAGGGAUCUUUUCAAUAAACUUUCUUCCCAGGGAUUACAUCCUGAUGUCAGGACAUACAGUAUCAUGAUUGGAGGUUUUUGUUAUAAAGGACUAUUGAACGAAGCUAAAGAGUUUUUUGUGGAAAUGGAACAAAAGGGUUACUUUCCAAAUGGUUGCACUUACAAUGUUAUUAUCCGAGGAUUUCUUGCGAGGAAGAAGUCCUCUGAGGCCUUGGUACUCCUCAAGGAAAUGGUUGCAAAGGGGUUUUCAGCAGAUGCAUCUACAGUUUCUUGUAUUGUGAAUCUAAGGUCAACUGAAGGACAAGAUCCUGCUCUCCAAGAAAUGAUAAAGUGGGUCAUAUCAAAGGAUUGAUAGGAAAUGCAAAGAGAUAGAAUUAGUCAUUCGGCUUCGAAGGUAAAAGUAUGUUUAUGCCAGAAAGUACAACCUAUUAUACUUUUUGAAAGUUAGUAUAGCCUAGUAAAUAAGUGUACCGUAUGAUCUAGUGGCUCUUGACUAUCAAAUUUAAAUCCAUAAACAUCUUUUUGUCCUUUCGGGAAAUCACUGAUUGAGCAUAUUUUCCCUAGACUCCACUACUUGUAUGACUUUCUAGAUUCUUUGCCUCUCUUGUUUACUAGAAGCUUCUCUUGUUUAGAUUACUGUAAGUGUAACUUUUGAACCUGCUGAUAUUUAUAGCCUAAACCGUCCAAUGGAUUAUGUAAUGCUUUGUUUGCACUCUCCUCCUUUGCAUCGAUGUGCUAGAAGUUUGUAUACAGCAACUAGCAUCUUGACCCUUUCUCCUUGCUCUCCUUAGACUAGGGAUGCAUACUUGAGUUUCAAGACUGUUCUUUUUUUUUUUUUUGCUCAGCAAGUUUCAAGACUCUUCUUUGACUACAACUUCGGCUUGAACCAUAGGUUGGAAAAGAAUUGAAUCAUACGGCCAAUUGUUUAAGUGGAGGAUGGUUUAUGUGAAUUUCUUCUGAAUUCUCUUGAUCACUAUAUUUAGUGGACACAUUACUUUUGCAAUUUGAUGAAAUUGUCAGACACUAUAAUUCUGAUUUCUAAAUGUGGUGGACUAAAGCCCAUUUCAUGCACACAUGGGCUUUUACUUCUCUUUCAUCUAUUUAGGACUUGUUGGCUGUUACUACUUAUUUAGAAAAUAGUUGGUCAAUGGUCACAGUAGACUACUAUGUCCUUGUGACUUUUUCCUCAGUCACUUUGGUUCAUUGGAAUUUACAUGUUGCAGAGUCUAGUAUAUCGUUUUGAUGUUUUGUCUAGUGACUCUAGUGCUAUGGCCAUUUCCCUGUGAUUUUGGUAUAUAUCUCCAUGUAGAAUUGCUUUCUUUAUGCACGAUGAGAGUAUCAUAUUCAUUUAUAUUGCCUCACUUUUGUUUUUUUGUUACUUUUUGAUAACUGACAUACAUGGAUAUACACCCUCCAAAUUGUUUGACCUUAUUGAAGUUUUCAGAAUGUUCAAGGAGCAAGUCUUAUAUCAGGUAUUUAUGAUGCUUUAAGCAUUUAGUCUGCCACGUUUUUAGCAAUUCAACUCGCAUGUAGUUUCACGUGUAUCUUUUGCACUUUACUGCAGUAUUAUCCAAGAUGCUUUUUUCUUUUUUUGAGAUGAUUAUGCAAGAUGCUUGACAUGGUGAAACAUAGCAACUUUUAAAGGUUUGCAUACAAUAGUAGAUGAUUCAAGGUCUUUGUGAACAUCCUACUGGGAGAAGAUGAAGUUAUGUUGUGAAAAUGGAUUAAAAUUGGGUCCCUAAUAACCUUGUUAUUCAAGCUGCAGCUGGAUUCGAAUUUUGACACAGUUGAACACCCCAACCUUUGAACUGCUCAGUUAUGAUGGUGGCCGACUAAAUAGCUCCAGAUACGCAAUUGUUUUUGGGUGGUGGGGUGCAUUAUUUUUUUCCUGUUCUUUUUUAAUGCCAGAAGUUGAAACUGUAAUUUCUGUUGGAUGAGUAUAGCACCAAGGGGUGAUGCAAUGGUGUGGCUUUUUCCUCCAAAUGGUUGUCAAUUUUCUGAAAUGCAUUCAAAACUGAAGUAUUGCUGAGAUGGUGUUGCUCUAGUUUCUGUUAGAUGUUGUGUUUUUCUUAGUUGCUCAUCGGCUAGAGUAUGGCUAAUUUUCUAAUUGAAUCUUUGCACCUUGCUUCUGCAAUUGCAAUUUCCAAAUUGGAAUUCGGAAAUUGAUGGAACAUAGUAUAGGAUGGUAGGAUGCAAGUGGAUUGCUCUGCUGCAGUUACAUUUAGUUUGAUACCAAAGAGAUUUGACUUUUCAAUCACAGAGAGGGUUUGUAGGUGACAAGCCUUUUCUCUGCUAUGGAAAUGCAAACAGCUUUGUUCCAAAUGGGAAGAUGGAUAUUGCCUGGACCGAGUGGUGGGAUUCCAGCAGCUUUGACCCAUAAAGUCCUAGAUUUUGUUCCUAAAAAGAAGACAGGUCGAAAAUCAUUUUUGGCUUUGGAACUUUAUACAUGAAUAAACCUUACGCCAGAGUCAAUUUGGGAAGAAUAUAUCUUAGCAGCCCAGGCCCUCUCCUCCUCGAUCUCUUUCCAACAUGGGAUACAUGACUAUUUGUAAAGGGAUUGCAAUCUGUCAAGUUGCCCCUCUGAAGUCACAUCUACUCUGUGCUGAUGAUUGUUUUGUGUUUCUUGAAUUCAACUUAGAGCAUUUGUGGCGCGGCUGGUGCUUCAAAUGGUUGCUGGAAGCUUAUUGCAACUUCUGAAGGUUUUUGAGUUGCUGCAAAUCCAUGAUUUGUUUCUAAGGUUUUACAAAAAACAUGGAAAAGAGUGGAAAUGAUGUUAUUUGCUUGACUUGGAGAGGGCGUUCCGCGUUACUUUAGAAAGUUGAGCUAACAAGUUCUCGGAGGAGAACCGAAGGACUGGAAAGCAUAGGUGGUUUAUAAGUGCCAGAGUUUUUACAUUCUCGUCGUAAGUCUGUACUGUAGAAUUGGAUAUAGCUGCAGAAAUUACAUGGCUUUGUUGGAAUUAUAACCCUUCCUCGGGCUGGCAAGGUUUGACCUACAUAUUUGUAUUUUGUUCAAAACUAACACAUAUUACGGGGUUUUGACGUUUAGGCUUUACCCACGCCUAUAGGUGCAGGGCAUUUGUUGAAGGGCCCAGAUACUAACCAUAGAUUGGAGAGUUGAGUUCUGACCACAGGUUUGGUUCUGCGAACCACAAAGGGGAGAGAUGGACUUUGGAAAUGAGGUAAAUGGCAAACUCAAGUUUCUGAAAACAAGACCUGACGUUUCUGAAAUUACAAAUAGGAUUCUGAUGAAAGAUAUCCCAAUCGAUCAUUUCAACUGCUUCAAUAUUUGGACUGAGUAGGAGAAGUUGGCAUAGGGCUGAGGACCAGAACAUUGAGAGUGUCACACAAGAAGAAGAAACCCUAUGGUCCAUCAAUUUAAAGAUGUGGAGCAGAAGAGGGAGCAUCACCCCUCUUCAGAGAUAAAAGUGGAAAAGGAAUUGGGUGUCGAUAAAUUAGCAGUACCCACGAGUUUUAACGAGCCAAAUCAAGCGUGGAAUGAGAGAGAGAUUUUGGAGAGACUUGAUUCCGAUGCCCAGAAGUUGAACACCCUUCAGAUCACUGUGGAAUAACGGAGAAGGAAAUUGGUAACAGGCAAGAAGAAGAAGAAAAGGUCAAAGAGUGUCAAUUUUGAGACAUUUAAGGAACAGUUGGAAGAAGUUGAGGAAACGAUUCUACAGCUGGCGGAGGUGAAGAGUCAUUGGACGAGGAAAAUCGAAGUGGGUCCAUUACAGAUGGACAGUAAGGCUCUUCUGCCUGAGAUGGAAGAGUGUGUCUGAAAAAAUUGAAGCGGGUCUGAAAAAAUCGGACGUUGCAGUUUGAGGUUCAGAAAAUCCAGCAUGUGCUGUUGAAGUUAGGGAAGUUCUGAUUAUCCAGGAGCGGAACGAGCAUUACACUGAAGAACUUCAUCUACAAUGCAGGAAAGCGUAGCCCAAGAUGGAGAAAGGGUUCUCUUUGCAAGGGUGCAGACAUUCAAGUCAUGGUGAUGGUAACAAUAUUAAUGUGUUUCACUAGAUUAGCUACAUAGAAUCGGUAAAACUCUCUGAAAUGUUCCUUGUACAAAGCUGUUUUAGUUUAUCGCGUCCUAAUUUUUUGACGCAAAUUUUUAGAUAAUUUACAGGCCAUGUUUGGCCAAGCGACACUCAAUGGGUCUCUACAUCUUCAUGUCAAAUGAGUUCAUAACUUUCUCAAAUGCCUUUCGGAAUGUGGCAAUACCUAUUAGAAGUUUUAGAUUGCCUAUUCUCCUACUUUUGAAAGUCUGGCUUUGAGCAUUGUGUUCUCACAUUCCAGAUACUAUUUUGUUGGUUGAACUCAUAUCAUCGAAUCUUCAGGCACUGGAAAUCUAUUGUCUCGAAAAUUCAUUAUUGUCGGGUACUUUCAAUGAAUCCACCUCGAAACAAUGUACAUCAAUUAUGGCGUCAUGUCCCCCGCGAGCUCCUCUGAUUACUCGUAUCUGUGGAACCUCAGAAAUUAAGCUCAUUAGUUUGAAGAGGUGGAUAUGUUCAAGGUGUUUCUUUUUUUCUUGAUUGUGGAUACAUUCGAGUUAAGAACACCAGAAAUGGAUUGGAUGUAGUUUGAAUCUUAUAACUACUUCUAAAGGUCUACAUAAACCAUUUGAUCAUUCAAGGUCACUUAUAAACUUGUUAUUCAAGCAGCAGCUUUCAAUCUUCACACGGUCAGACACCAAUGGGGGUUGCAAGGGUGUGGCAAAUGGUUGUCAAUUUUCAGAAAUUCAUUCUAAGCUCAAAUGUUGCUGAUGCUUUUGCUGUCUGAGAUGGGGUUAUUUUCCUAGUUGCUCAUGGGCUAAUUUCCAAAUCGAAUUUUCGUAGUUGCAAAUAUCAUUUCCAAAUUGGAAUGGGGACACAUUAUUGCAAUACGCUAGAGGAUGGUUGGAUGCUAGUAGCAAGGUUUUCGAUCCCAUACCGGCAAUGGCCAGUACAUACGGUUUUUGUGAGUAUCCGGUGCCCUGCUACCCAAAUUCCAUCCCGGCUUCAAUGCCAGUGCUUACUGGAGAGUACCGCCUGUUGCAAUAGAUUUUAGGUGAGAUGGUGGUUAUUCUGAUUUCAUCCGGUAUUUCACAUAGUCUGAUACUCAACUUGUUAACUGUUAUAGCCCUAAAUCGCGUAUUACUGUAGUUUAUUCUGCUCAGCCAUUGCCAGAAUUCCACGGCAAUUGCAAGGGCAGGUUAUCUAUGCUUCAGAGGCCUACAGUUCUCAUAGGAACUGAAAAGAGUAUUUUGACUGGAAAUUCCUUUUUGUGCAUGGGUAUGUAAGGAUGGCAUAUGGUAUGUGAGGACGGUAUUAAAACAGUAUCCAAAUCGAACUGGAGCUGGUUUAAUAGUAAAAGGAAUUGAAUCCUCUCGAGCAGAUAAGGUCCCAGUUCAAUUUGGGCCUUGUUCUAGCCAACAUUGAUGCUCGGAACCGUUCGGUUUUUAGCGUUCAAGUGAGAUUGGCAGCAAAUAUUGUGCUCUGUUGAGCCAAAAACGUAAACACUAUUUUACUAGUAGUGUGAGGCUUCUAUGUUAGUUUGUGCUUUGAAAUGUGUUUGAACUUGGAUGAUCAAGAACCUUUUACAAUUAUCUAUUUCAGGCUACUGUUAUAAUUU